Molecule: ribosomal RNA, 472 nt
Filed under: uncultured Planctomycetales bacterium
Lineage: Bacteria; Pseudomonadati; Planctomycetota; Planctomycetia; Planctomycetales
Description: bacterial SSU rRNA
Rfam family: Bacterial small subunit ribosomal RNA
Source: RNAcentral
UUCGCAAUGCCCGAAAGGGUGACGAAGCGACGCCGCGUGUGGGAAGAAGGCCUUCGGGUUGUAAACCACUGUCGGGAGUUAAGAAAUGCAAGAAUGUUAAUAGCGUUUUUGCUUGACUAAGGCUCCGGAGGAAGCCACGGCUAACUCUGUGCCAGCAGCCGCGGUAAUACAGAGGCGGCAAGCGUUGUUCGGAAUUAUUGGGCGUAAAGAGCACGUAGGCGGCUAUAUAAGUCGGUUGUGAAAGCCUUCCGCUCAACGGGAGAACAGCAUCCGAUACUGUGUGGCUUGAGUGUGGGAGGGGAGAGCGGAACUUCUGGUGGAGCGGUGAAAUGCGUAGAUAUCAGAAGGAACGCCGGCGGCGAAAGCGGCUCUCUGGCCCAUAACUGACGCUGAGUGUGCGAAAGCUAGGGGAGCAAACGGGAUUAGAUACCCCGGUAGUCCUAGCCGUAAACGAUGGGCACUAAGUAGAGGG